CUGUGAAUCCGGUAACGAUUGUUGGGAUUCCGCAACGGAAGCAUCAAAUCAGAUUUUUACCAUAAAUCCGUCUCUUCAGCAAAAGCUGAUACAAUCAUAAAAGAGAAAAAAACCAAAACAGAAAAUAUGCGGGUAAAAUAAGAUUCAUUAAAUAAGAGAAGAUUAUACCUGACUCCUCUUCUGCAAAAGAAUAGCUACAAUCCGAGCCCUCUUUCUGAAUCUCUUCUAUCAUUUUCUCGUUUUAUAAAUCUAAAAGACAACUCUCUUUCUUCUCACAUGCACUCGUGCACUAGGUGCAUGCAACCGGCCAACUCUCUUUCUCUGGUACCAUCCACCAAAGGGACUUUUUUCGAAAAUAACCCUCUGAAAUUUUAUAAUUGGCAAAAUAACCCUCUGAAAAUUUUAUUUGUGAAACUAACCCUCCUCUCGCCACCUCAGCCGCCACCUCAGCAUUUCUCAUAAAGACGGUGACUCGUUCACCGUCUCCUGAAGACAGUAAAUCGGUAAAUCGUUAACCGUCUUCUCAGGCGUGGACCCCUCGCCUUCUCAGCAAUUCCCCGCGUAUCAGCGCCUACGUAGCAAUUCAACAGAAGGCGGUGACUCGUUUACCGUCUUAACAAAGACGGUGAAUCGUCCACCGCCUUACCUAGGCGUACACCAUUCGCCGCAUUCGCCGCCUUCUCAGUGUUGCCACCCCUCGCCUUCUCAGCAAUUCCCCGCGUAUCAGCGCCUACGCAGCAAUUCAACAGAAGACGGUGACUCGUUUACCGUCUUAACAAAGACGGUGAAUCGUCCACCGCCUUAUCUAGGCGUACACCAUUCGCCGCAUUCGCCGCCUUCUCAGUGUUGCCCCCGCCCAAAUAAGACGGUUACUCGUUCACCGUGUUUACUGAAUCUUGAAGCCGGUAAGUUGUUCACC
Molecule: long non-coding RNA, 919 nt
Filed under: Ananas comosus (pineapple)
Lineage: Eukaryota; Viridiplantae; Streptophyta; Magnoliopsida; Poales; Bromeliaceae
Description: long non-coding RNA (ACOM_LNC019591)
Source: RNAcentral